Molecule: ribosomal RNA, 311 nt
Filed under: uncultured bacterium
Lineage: Bacteria
Description: bacterial SSU rRNA
Rfam family: Bacterial small subunit ribosomal RNA
Source: RNAcentral
UACGAACGCUGGCGGCGCGCCUAACACAUGCAAGUCGAACGAGCGAGAGAGAGCUUGCUUUCUCGAGCGAGUGGCGAACGGGUGAGUAACGCGUGAGUAACCUGCCCUGGAGUGGGGGACAACAGUUGGAAACGACUGCUAAUACCGCAUAAGCCCACGGCCCGGCAUCGGGUUGAGGGAAAAGGAUUUAUUCGCUUCAGGAUGGACUCGCGUCCAAUUAGCUAGUUGGUGAGGUAACGGCUCACCAAGGCGACGAUCAGUAGCCGGUCUGAGAGGAUGAACGGCCACAUUGGGACUGAGAUACGGCCCAG